CACAUUGUCUUGGCUAGUAUCGGUGCUACA
RNAcentral lists this non-coding RNA (30 nucleotides) under Mus musculus (house mouse). Lineage: Eukaryota; Metazoa; Chordata; Mammalia; Rodentia; Muridae. The record is from RNAcentral.